CAAUUGGUUUGUUUUUCGAAGGUGGGUGGGUGGCCAUUUUUGCCGUACCAAGAGGUGGCGCCCGAAAUUCAAGUUCGAAAUUUUGCCUGUUUUGAGGAUUUUGCAAAAGAGGGACCCAUUUUAUUUUGGAAACCCUGGGCCAAUUUGGAUGGCAGAUGAAGUUUGAACUGUAAGUGAGGUUGGUAUUUUCGUGGUGAUGGUUGUGGAUUGGGGUUAUUUAUGUACGAUGCAUGCGUUUGCACUUACGAUUCUGACCCACAACUAUUAUCUCCCAAUUCCGGAUUCGGUGUUUAGUCGCUCAUCUAUCUGACCCGUCUUGAAACACGGACCAAGGAGUUUAAGGUGUACGCAAGUCAUUGGCGGUUGAAAGUCAAAGGCGUAAUGAAAGUGGGACACUUGGUGUCUGUGAUGUGAGUUGGUUUUGUUUCGAUGAGGCCAACGCAACAUCGACCCAUGACUAGGACUUGUUCUGUUGUGGAGUCUGAGCGUACGCUUUGAGACCCGAAAGAUGGUGAACUAUGCCUGAACAGGACGAA
RNAcentral lists this ribosomal RNA (536 nucleotides) under Aphelenchoides sp. Ap009. Its description in RNAcentral is "eukaryotic LSU rRNA". It matches the Rfam family "Eukaryotic large subunit ribosomal RNA", at positions 439 to 850 of the family's 3401-position model. The record is from RNAcentral. Lineage: Eukaryota; Metazoa; Nematoda; Chromadorea; Rhabditida; Aphelenchoididae.